CCUACGGGUGGCAGCAGUGAGGAAUAUUGGUCAAUGGACGCGAGUCUGAACCAGCCAUGUCGCGUGCAGGAUGACUGCCCUAUGAGUUGUAAACUGCUUUUGUACGAGGGUAAACCCCGAUACGUGUAGCGGGUUGAAAGUAUCGUACGAAUAAGGAUCGGCUAACUCCGUGCCAGCAGCCGCGGUAAUACGGAGGAUCCGAGCGUUAUCCGGAUUUAUUGGGUUUAAAGGGUGCGUAGGUGGUUUGAUAAGUUAGUGGUGAAAGUUUGGGGCUCAACCCCGAAAUUGCCUUUAAUACUGGUGGACUAGAGAACAGUUGCGGUAGGCGGAAUGUAUGGUGUAGCGGUGAAAUGCUUAGAGAUCAUACAGAACACCGAUUGCGAAGGCAGCUUACCAAACUAUAUCUGACGUUGAGGCACGAAAGCGUGGGUAGCAAACAGGAUUAGAUACCCUGGUAGUC
This 460-nucleotide ribosomal RNA is filed under the name uncultured bacterium. RNAcentral describes it as "partial 16S ribosomal RNA". It matches the Rfam family "Bacterial small subunit ribosomal RNA", at positions 338 to 795 of the family's 1533-position model. The record is from RNAcentral.